Molecule: long non-coding RNA, 317 nt
Filed under: Linum usitatissimum (flax)
Lineage: Eukaryota; Viridiplantae; Streptophyta; Magnoliopsida; Malpighiales; Linaceae
Description: long non-coding RNA (LUSI_LNC003681)
Source: RNAcentral
GUUGAGACUACCUACAAAUUCCAAAUGGGACUAGUUAGUAGUGGGAUAUUCAUUAAGGUUCACUUUUGUCGUUUUGGAGUUCGAGUUCGUAGACUGGCCAACAAUGAGCGAGGUAUCUGUGGGGAAGAGAAGAACUGCAAGGGAGUGAAGAGAGCAAAUCACUUAGUCGACGUGUUUGGCUUCCUUUAUCGCUGAGAUUACUCCACCGACCUCGACAAGAAGCAUCGUCUCCAGCUCCUUCCUCCUCGCUCCGUCGUUCUCCAUCGCCGGAGGAAAUUUGCAGAAAUUUGAUUGUCGAGCCAAGCAAAGUAUUCAAG